UACAGAGGUCCCGAGCGUUGUUCGGAUUCACUGGGCGUAAAGGGUGCGUAGGCGGUGGAGUAAGUCGGAUGUGAAAUACCAUAGCUUAACUAUGGAACUGCACUCGAUACUACUUUGCUAGAGUAAGACAGAGGUGAGUGGAACUGAGGGUGGAGCGGUGAAAUGCGUUGAUAUCCUCAGGAACACCGGUGGCGAAGGCGACUCACUGGACCGGUACUGACGCUGAUGCGCGAAAGCGUGGGGAGCAAACAGG
This 253-nucleotide ribosomal RNA is filed under the name uncultured bacterium. RNAcentral's name for it is "partial 16S ribosomal RNA". It matches the Rfam family "Bacterial small subunit ribosomal RNA", at positions 524 to 776 of the family's 1533-position model. The record is from RNAcentral.